UCCAAUGUGUAAACUCCUUUUCGCUUGCUUCGACAAAGUUGCCGGUGGGUGUCGCCACCAGUCCCGGACUUUGACGUUGAGAUGAGCAGUGAAAAAAGCAUGCGGUCUUCAUGUGUUAGCAAAGUUUUCGUAAGCUUUAAUAUUAUUUUGAUUUUUAUCAACUAGGUAUUACAACAUUUUCUUCAAUUUACAGAGUUAUUAUAUGACAUUUCUGCUCAAACUACAACCGAUCAACGCCGAUUAGUAAAUCAUUGGAACUCCUCCGGCCACUGCUAGGAAUACUGUUUCCUUUCGAACCUCCGGAGGCGCGUUUACCCCGUGCAGCUGCAGCUCAAAUGGCAUCACUACCAUCGGAACCGACUGCCAUAAUUUGUCGAAUAUUUCGGUUUAUUCUGACGUGUAUUCGUGAACACGCCCAUCAUCUUCCGGAAGUUGCCCUGGUACGUCCGGAUUCCCUCAAACAUUGCCCGCUUGCGCAUCAUCUCCACAUCUUUCCGCUCAACUGCUCGGAAAACUCCGCAGCCGUAGAUUCUCUCCCGGAUCUCAUUCCGGAUUCAUUCCGUACCUGGCAUUCCGGCAGAGAACCGAAGAAACGCAAACCAGGAAGAACCGCAAAAAUGAGUCGUCGUACGAGAAAGAUGCCCAAGCUGAGGUGAGUUCGUCGGAGCUGAUGUUUAGGUACUCAGAGCUGCUAUCUCAAUGCAUUCUAUUUCAACUCUUCCGGGCGGGACCUAAGUCGAGCGGUAACCCUGCUGGAGAUUAUUAAGCGACGGGAGAAGAUCAACAGCGAACAGCUGCACCUCAGUAUCGAAGUGUACGAGAAGCGGUACCAGGCGCACGACUUUGCCGGCCAGAUACUGGCCGAGUUCGCCUCGAACGCGACCAAGCGUCACGGUUGGUUCCCCGGUCGGCGAUCGUCGCAGAUUGUAACGCUCUUGUUUCUUUAAGUCCCGCGUUCGCGCCAAUCUACUCGAACCAGUAUUCGUCGCACCACGGGGCGACGCCGGCGGACAGGUUGUGGACAAUCACAGCAGUAGUCGGAAGGAGAAGCGGCAGUACAAGAAGCCAAGGCACGAAAUCCAAAAGGAUCGCGGCGGGACGUCUACCAGCGGUUCAGCGAUGGUCGGCGCCGGAAGUUCAUGGGCCGGGACGGAUCGGUGCUGCCCGGCGCCUGUGAUCCCAGUGCGAUAGCCGCCAGCGCUGGCCUUCAUGGAAGUGGCACUACCGGCGAUCCAGCGCUGUCCUCGGAAAAGGAGGAACCUGCCAACCUGCAGGGUGCAACCGCCCCGGAGGAAGAGUACGCGUACACUGUCCAGCCGAGAAAGUUUAGUGUCUGGAAUUAGCCCUGGGUGUCGAAUGAGGAGAACGGUGGCCAACUGCCCGGACAUUACGCGCAACAUUGCAUUUAUAUUACAUACUUGCCGACCACGACAACCGAGUCCGGUGUACUACGACCUUUUCGCUCUAACGGGUUGGGCGUACGCGUCUCCGAUACGCGAUAAACCGUGACUAUGAAGCAGGUCAAACCAGAUGCGCCGUUCCUGCAUUUUGAUUUCCCUGGGGCAUCGGUGCUGCUGCAGCCCACUUCCGGCUGAAUGGACGGCCGCUGGAUGUCCUUGGACGACAAGGGUGAGCGAAACCGGUAGUUGGAGAACUGGCACACGUGACAAGCAUUCUUCUGCAAUCGACGACACCGCUGGAACCGAUACUAAUGGUCGCUGCAGCGACCCUCACGGAACGGACUGCCUUUGUGUGCGCAUCGGCUAUCCGGUAAAAAUCCAUCGUCCCAACGAACCUUCUGAUCAAACCACCCAAUCGACGGUCAGCUUGGCCGGUUCUACGACGAUAACCGCAAUUAUGCAGUCUUUGAGCGUCUCAAGCAUCGCUCAGUCGAACGGGAGAAUGUUACCGACGCUUCGGUAGUCCUGUUUUGUCCCAGAUAAGAUCACUUUUGAUGCUGGCGCCCAAACCACCGCCCAUUCUGAUCCAUGAUAAUUAAGGCCCUCAACAAGCUCAAGGAACUGCAGGAUUGCGACAUGAACGCGGUGUUGAAGGACCACGCCGUAACGACGAAUCAAUUUCUUCGAUAAAGCAACACGAACCUGCCCACGAAGGAGGGCCUGAGUACGGAGUAACGGGUGUUCUAUUUGUUGGAAUGCGUCAACCUUGCAGACUGGACCGGAAGAACCGGUCAAGGACACUGCUAACUCCAGACCACUAGCGCCGAUACCAACAUCAAUCUAGAACUCGAAUAAUGUCACCGGGAGUCCCAUCAACUAAACACUGGCAGCUCCGACAACUCACUGCGCAUUGAGAGCUAUAUGAUGAUUUUACAGAACCUAACCCUUGGCCAACAUGAAAAAGUCGGCGAAAAUUGCUCCGUCGUCGUCGAAUCUAACCUGGUCAAGCGGCCACGCUCGUGCUGUUCAAGAACAAGGGUAACUCGGAGCGCAACGGUCUUUACAUCCGUUUGCCGGUUCUACGGCGAUAGCCGCAAUCUCACAGUCUUCGAGCGCCUCGAGCAAUGCCCCAUCCGCCGCGGGAAUGGUACCAAAACGUGUAUGGGUACAGGAGAAAGCGCCAACGGAAGAUGCUUCACACUAGCACGCCGUAGGCGUAAAAGGUCAACAAUUUUGUUAAGUCGAGUCGAGUGAAGUGAUUGAAUAAGAAAUGAGAAAGUUUGUGUACAAAACUCAAUAAAUACAUUUUUUUAAUGUUAUAAUUUAAGCCACAAAAAGAAAGAAAUAAUUUGUCCAAUCUAUUCACCAACAGGUGGCAGCACAAUAUUCCCGCUAGUCGACAGCUUCCCAUUUUUGCCACCAGGCGGCUACCGCCAAAUCAAAAAUUUACACAUUGGAUGCGUUUUUGCCCAGAAUCCAGAAAAUGUGUUCCGGGCUGUUUACACGGAGCGGUGGUUCAAGCGUGGUCUUGUGCGAAAAUAGUUGGAUUCUACACUUUUUGGUGUAAUUCUUAUCUUCAGUGUAAGCUGCCGCAUUUUGGUCGCAAUCGUCGCAAUCCAUUUUGUUCCCGGGCCGUCCAAACCUGACGACACCGCACAUUUUUUUAACCCAAAUUUGGUGCCACGGG
This is a long non-coding RNA of Culex pipiens pallens (northern house mosquito), 3087 nucleotides long. RefSeq lists it as uncharacterized. The record is from RefSeq and is a predicted model, not a curated record. Lineage: Eukaryota; Metazoa; Arthropoda; Insecta; Diptera; Culicidae. The transcript has 4 exons.